CGCCAGACUCCUACGGGAGGCAGCAGUGAGGAAUAUUGGUCAAUGGACGCAAGUCUGAACCAGCCAUGCCGCGUGCAGGAAGACGGCUCUAUGAGUUGUAAACUGCUUUUGUACGAGGGUAAACGCAGAUACGUGUAUCUGCUUGAAAGUAUCGUACGAAUAAGGAUCGGCUAACUCCGUGCCAGCAGCCGCGGUAAUACGGAGGAUCCAAGCGUUAUCCGGAUUUAUUGGGUUUAAAGGGUGCGUAGGCGGUUUAGUAAGUCAGCGGUGAAAUUUUGGUGCUCAACACCAAACGUGCCGUUGAUACUGCUGAGCUAGAGAGUAGGUGCGGUAGGCGGAAUGUAUGGUGUAGCGGUGAAAUGCUUAGAGAUCAUACAGAACACCGAUUGCGAAGGCAGCUUACCAAACUAUAUCUGACGUUGAGGCACGAAAGCGUGGGGAGCAAACAGGAUUAGAUACCCGGGUA
Molecule: ribosomal RNA, 466 nt
Filed under: uncultured bacterium
Lineage: Bacteria
Description: bacterial SSU rRNA
Rfam family: Bacterial small subunit ribosomal RNA
Source: RNAcentral